AUGAGGAACCGGUGGCUCACCAAGGAGGAGGUGGAGGCCUUCUGGAGGCAGCAGAAGAAGCCGGCGCCCGAGGACAACGUUAAAGGCGGCACGACCGUCGUCACCUCCCCGCUGUCGAGGUCGACCCCGCGUGCGUCGACUCUGUCUCAUGUCCGUUCGUCGCCUCCGGACAAAGCGACGAGAGCGCUAGCUAGAAUACACAGUGAACAUUCCAUAAGAUUUUUUAAAGCAUAUUUAACACGCUGCGGCGUCUGGUGCAUCGGAUACUUUCCCCAUGGGCCGGACCGGAAUAAUCUUGUUGGGAUGCCGAAAUUAAUUGCUCGGCUUCAGCACAAUCAGUCUCCACCAGAAGUGAGAGUUGAGAGUAUUUAUAAUCUUGAAAUCUCAUUCCACUUUGGAGCUUAUGCAAGGGUUGUUGGUUCAUCGUUGAUCAGGUGGAGGGGGGCCAAGGCCCCCCUCCCCCUCCCCCACCCACACCCACACACUCCAGUAGUUGGUGUACCCCCUCCCACACAAAUAGUUUUUUUUUGCGAGAGGUCUUUACGGUACCCUAUACUGCUACUGGGGAAGGAGCAGUAUAUGUGUGAUCCCACCGUUGAUCACAAAGGGAACUGCUCUGGUGGGCCAAUACUUCUGAGCGACCAGGACACAAGCAGGUUGAGCCAUGCCUGGGUGAGCAUUCUGGCACACGACGUGGUUGUCGACCUCACAGCAAAGGUAGAUGAGCAGCUCCACGUCCUGCAAGAUGCGGCCGAAGUAGAGGUUCCGCCACGCUCCGGCACUCACCUAGACGCAGCUCUUCCGGCGUCAGAAGACUGGCACAUCUUGCACAUCCUGGCCCGUCGUCGACGCCGGCGAGCUCGUCCGCAGCGCAGGGUGGUUUGGCAUGCGCUACGGCCAUGCACGAGGCACAAUAAGCGUGAUGCUAGGGUGCGGAUGGGGCGCACGGCAACGGGCCAUAACAUCAUAACCGUAGAAGCAUCAAUCCACGAUCACGAUGGAUUAAGGGGAGACGAACGUCCGGGGACGUCUGCCGGAGAUGCAGAGUCGCCAAAUAAUGAACUGCAAGCGCGUAUACCGGUGGACGAGAAACACACAGUACUAGCGAUACUGCUGAUCCGUUUUCACCGGUACAGAUAUCUAACAACCCUUGGAUCUUUGCCAUUGGACGGCCUGUAUUCAAUAAAGGGUACCAUAAAAGAGCUCUUCCAAUAA
Molecule: ribosomal RNA, 1215 nt
Filed under: Triticum aestivum (bread wheat)
Lineage: Eukaryota; Viridiplantae; Streptophyta; Magnoliopsida; Poales; Poaceae
Description: partial small subunit ribosomal RNA
Source: RNAcentral